ACAAUGGGUCGAUAAGUCGGUUCUAGUGGGGAACAGCCACUAGAGGAAACGGGGAAAGUCCGGUGCGAAUCCGGCGCUGUCCCGCAGCUGUAAUCAAGGUUUACCUUGUGAGUCAGAAUGCCCGCCGAAGUUGACUUGUAAAU
This 143-nucleotide non-coding RNA is filed under the name Tolypothrix sp. The record is from RNAcentral. Lineage: Bacteria; Bacillati; Cyanobacteriota; Cyanophyceae; Nostocales; Tolypothrichaceae.